UACGUAGGGGGCGAGCGUUGUCCGGAAUUAUUGGGCGUAAAGAGCGUGUAGGCGGUUCGGUAAGUCUGCUGUGAAAUCCUGGAGCUCAACCCCGGGCGUGCAGCGGAUACUGGCGGGCUAGAGGGUGGUAGAGGCGAGUGGAAUUCCGAGUGUAGCGGUGAAAUGCGCAGAUAUUCGGAGGAACACCAGUGGCGAAGGCGGCUCGCUGGGCCGCACCUGACGCUGAGGCGCGAAAGCGUGGGGAGCGAACAGG
This 253-nucleotide ribosomal RNA is filed under the name uncultured bacterium. Its description in RNAcentral is "partial 16S ribosomal RNA". It matches the Rfam family "Bacterial small subunit ribosomal RNA", at positions 524 to 776 of the family's 1533-position model. The record is from RNAcentral.